CCUACGGGAGGCAGCAGUGGGGAAUAUUGCACAAUGGGCGAAAGCCUGAUGCAGCGACGCCGCGUGAGGGAUGACGGCCUUCGGGUUGUAAACCUCUUUCAGCAGGGACCAAGCGUGAGUGAGUGUACCUGCAGAAGAAGCACCGGCUAACUACGUGCCAGCAGCCGCGGUAAU
This 174-nucleotide ribosomal RNA is filed under the name uncultured bacterium. Its description in RNAcentral is "partial 16S rRNA". It matches the Rfam family "Bacterial small subunit ribosomal RNA", at positions 338 to 524 of the family's 1533-position model. The record is from RNAcentral.